CAGGCGAGGGCAGUUCCCAGGACUGACGGACGGCGGGCAGAACAGAGCCCGAGCACGUGGCAGGGAGCACGUGGCAGGGUGGCCGGUGGCUUGUGCCCUCGGACUGAGGUUUGUGCAGGGCCCACGAAAGGUUGGGGCGUGGCCUGGUGCCAGGGCACCCCCAGUAGCUCUGUGGAGUCCCAGGUGCCCUGUUGGACUCAGACCUGGCUACAGGGACAGGAGACGGCAGGGCUGGAAGGGCCCCCAGGUCGGCGUCACCCUCUGCCAGGACAGAAGGGGGCAUCACCCCAGGCUCCCUCUCCCAAGCCUGGGGAGGGAGACGCUCUUAUGUUAAGAGUUCUUGGACAAAUUUUUAAAAAGUUUCAGAGGCAACUGGGCGGACCAGAUGUUUCACCCUACUCUGGGGAGAACAGACCUUCUUCCUCCAAAAGAAACGAGUUCCGACCCUACCUAAGGGAGGUGGCUACCGCUCACCUUUCUGCUCCUGUGAGCGUGUGUACAGCCUCAGCAGCCUGAGGCCUGACCGUGCUCCGUCCCGGGAGAGACGGUCUCAACAGGUGAGAACUCCUCCUAGUAUUAGUCACAUCAACUCAAUUAAGUGAUGGCAGCGGCUGCUGUGGCCAGGUCUGGACUGGGCACUGAGGACACAGGAGUUAAUCAGACUUUGUUUGAGAAGGUUGCGCUCGAUGAGAAAAAAAGACAAGGACACGUCGCUGAUGGCCAUGAGAGGCUCAAAGCUAGGGAUGUGCGGAGAAGUCAAGGCCACUUCUCCAGGAGACUGGUGUGCAGGCCGGAGUGGGGAGGUGUGCAGAUCAGGGAAUGUGGUUUCUAGGAAAAGCGGGUGCCUGAGUUGGUCGGAGGGGAAGAAGGGUCAGAUUUUUAGGGGAAGGAGGGUGGGUCUGGGCUCCAGGGGAGAAAGACAGAGAGACUUGUGCUUUGGGAACAAAAGACCUUUGGGAGUAUGGGCCCAGCCCAGGCCCUCAGCAGCAGCAAGGCCUUGGUGUUCACACAGAUGAAGUGGUGAUGGUGGCAGUGGCCUCCCCUGGGCAGGGUUUGGUAGGGGACUGCCCAGCCCUGUGUCCCUUUAGGGCCCUCUGCAGACUGUCUCAUAUGGCAGAGCUUUGAAUGGUAGCCCCACCCCACCCCAGAGGCUACAGGUGGGCCCAGGUAUGGAUGCGUCAGUUCCCAGCAUCGUCCCCUGUUGAUCAUCAGGUGCCCUGAUGAUAUCAGUGUUUUCUGAAUGUGCCAUAAGGUGAGUGAGACUGGUUGGACGAGAGACGGAGGUGUUCAAAUCUAACCUCCAAGGAGGCCUCCCUCCAGCUCUUCAUUCUUCCAACCCCCAAACCCUUAGAGUGGAGGCGGGAGCAGAGACCAGAGGAAGUACAAAAGCAGCAGAGAAUGCUGAAAGCAGACUUGGGGCUCAAGCCCCAAGUCCCAGGGGUCUAACGGUCCCGUCUGUGGCUCAGAGUUCACCUCUGUUGGUGGCCUGGCGCGGACGGAGACCCCAGGAGGCCCUGCGACCGGCCAGCAGAGCCCCCUCCUGCCUGGGGCUCCCAGGAGCAGCAGCUGUCUCCGGUUCCAGCUCCCCAGCUCCGCAGGGUUAAAGGCAGGGAGGAGUGCUUGCAGGGAGCUGUGUCUCCUCCCCACCUCAGCUCCGCAGGGUUAAAGGCAGGGAGGAGUGCUUGCAGGGAGCCGUGUCUCCUCCCCACCUCGGCGGGGUCAGCUGGGCCCUGAGGCUCUCCUGUGACUGCUCCCUGCUCUGUGACCUGUGUCAAGGGCCAGCUAACCCAGUGCCCUCCCUAGACCUGACUGCAGUAACUUUUACACUCGAAACCGUUCAACUGCAUCCCAUCCCUAGGACAGAAGCACAACGGUUCUCAACCUGCCCCGGGGCUAAGGCCCCCAGCUGUGGCCGCCCUGCCCUGCCCACGGCCCUCUGACGAAACUCCGGAAGCUGAAAGCAGAGCGCGGGGCAGGAGGGAAGUCAGCGCGUCCUUCCCCUCUCCGUCCAUCUGUCCGUCUGCACACGGCGAGGGUCAGAGGCUGCGCGCAGGAGCGCUCAAGUCACCGCCUUCCGAAACUCACUCAGCUCUUCGGGGGGCCAGGAGACAACUGGUGACCUUUCUUGGCUGUCAGGACAAGUGUGAAUCCUCCUUACCUUGGAAUCUGUAUUCCUGGUGUGUGAAAUGGAAGUAAUAGCGACCCCUACCAGUUCAUCUUUCUUAAAGGCGCGUUGGACCAGAGAGUGUAAGCGCCCAGCACCCUGGAGGAAAGGAACUCACUCCCACUGACUAGACUGAACAGCGGGCAGGGGCCUCAGGUGGCACCUGGAGGAGGCAGUCCAGAGACUUCCAAGGUCACCUCCGACCCCUCUGGGACCUCCCUGCAGACUUCCUGAUGCAACUGUCCAACUCACUGCCUCUCUAGACAGGAGGGACAGACUCUGCCGAGGAGAAAGCUCUCCCUCCUGCCGCACUGGGGCCGGCCCUGGAGACCCCUCGCCACCGGCCCCGGACCCAUCUCCCCCUGAAGAACUCAGCAGAAACGGGAAAGCAGAACCAAGGUCCCCCCACCCAGGUGCCGCUGGCCGGGGUCCUGGUGUGACCACCCAGCUGUUUACGGCAGCACGCCUCACGCUGCUUGGAGCCCUGGCUGUUCCAGUUGCUAAGUACUUUGAUGCCACCCUAGACUCUCAGGAGUGGCGUCGAGGGCACAGUGAGAGGACGACCCUCCCAAAGGCCUUCCCCACCCGCUCGGAUCCACUAGCUCACUCACAGAGCCCCUCCUCCAGCACAUGACAGCUUAAUAAAGAAAUGGUCGUUCCUAACGUGUGCUGAAAAGAACCCUGAUGCU
This is a non-coding RNA of Odocoileus virginianus texanus, 2853 nucleotides long. NCBI's taxonomy places the organism in Eukaryota, Metazoa, Chordata, Mammalia, Artiodactyla, Cervidae. The record is from RefSeq and is a predicted model, not a curated record.